GUUUUCCCUUCCAAAUGUUUCCUAACGCUUGCUCCUCUGGGGAGUCUCUCUGUUCCCAGUGCUUCUGCCUUUGCUCUCCUAUCACCCUUGCUGUCUGCCAUCCCUGUGCUCCUCUCCCUUUCCUCCAGAGCUCAUCCUCUUCCCUUCCCUACAGGGCUUUGCUGGUGUGCAGGGGGGUAGAGGGCAUGCAGGACCUCCUGGACCCAUGGGGCCCCAAGGAAAACCUGGAGCUGAUGGAGACCUGGGUUGCAUGGGUCCAAAGGGUCUGCCUGGGAAACCUGGCUUGGAGGGACCACAGGGGCCGGUUGGCAUGUAUGUAAGUGCUGCUGCUGCCCAGGGGAGGCAUGGGGACCGAGGGAGGGGGUG
RNAcentral lists this long non-coding RNA (366 nucleotides) under Numida meleagris (helmeted guineafowl). RNAcentral's name for it is "lncRNA (ENSNMEG00000005831.1)". The record is from RNAcentral. Lineage: Eukaryota; Metazoa; Chordata; Aves; Galliformes; Numididae.